AGUGAACGCUGGCGGUAGGCCUAACACAUGCAAGUCGAACGGCAGCACAGGAGAGCUUGCUCUCUGGGUGGCGAGUGGCGGACGGGUGAGGAAUACAUCGGAAUCUACUCUGUCGUGGGGGAUAACGUAGGGAAACUUACGCUAAUACCGCAUACGACCUACGGGUGAAAGCAGGGGAUCUUCGGACCUUGCGCGAUUGAAUGAGCCGAUGUCGGAUUAGCUAGUUGGCGGGGUAAAGGCCCACCAAGGCGACGAUCCGUAGCUGGCCUGAGAGGAUGGGCAGCCACACUGGAACUGAGACACGGUCCAGACUCCUCCGGGAGGCAGCGGUGGGGAAUAUUGGACAAUGGGCGCAAGCCUGAUCCAGCCAUACCGCGUGGGUGAAGAAGGCCUUCGGGUUGUAAAGCCCUUUUGUUGGGAAAGAAAUCCAGCUGGCUAAUACCCGGUUGGGAUGACGGUACCCAAAGAAUAAGCACCGGCUAACUUCGUGCCAGCCGCCGCAGUAA
RNAcentral lists this ribosomal RNA (506 nucleotides) under uncultured bacterium. RNAcentral's name for it is "partial 16S ribosomal RNA". It matches the Rfam family "Bacterial small subunit ribosomal RNA", at positions 29 to 523 of the family's 1533-position model. The record is from RNAcentral.